Molecule: long non-coding RNA, 1383 nt
Organism: Saccostrea cuccullata (small rock oyster)
Lineage: Eukaryota; Metazoa; Mollusca; Bivalvia; Ostreida; Ostreidae
Exons: 3
Source: RefSeq, a predicted model, not a curated record
UCGAAAGACCGUAUUUCUUUAGCUUGUUUGGAUGAUUUAACCGAUUCUUACUUGUGUAAAAGUGUGAUACAUGUUUUUCUGUUAAAUAUCCUCUGUUUCUUUGGAUAAUUCUACUGGAACCGUCAACAGCGGACUUGAAUAGAUGAUGUUCGAGAUCAUAAAAUGGAUUGCCUGCACUCAUGCGUCAUCACAGUUUAAAGGAUUUCAACCUAAAAAGAAACCCUGCACAUUUGCAGCUGUACAGAAUGCAGUUCAUGCCAUAUGCUGUUAGAGUAAAUGAUGAAAGAUGUUCAAACCACAUGCAGUGUCAAAGAGUCCUAAGUCUGAAAUCAUGGUGCUUUUAUUAAGGAGAUCAGUGUUUGUUUUCUGUGCAUUGUUGACAUUUGUAGAACUGUUCGGUUUAUGACCAUCUCUCUGACAAUAACUCUGACAUUUGAAUUUCAAUUUGAGCGUCGGUUAAGAAAGCCAAAUUAUAUGCAUGUAAAACAUUAUACAAGUGUAAUAAAAACAUUGAUAAACUUAAAUUUAAACAAAGUUCAUGUACAUGUAUCUGUGAUCUUUGCAUUGAAAUUCAUAAAUGCUGUACAUGGAUACUUUUAAUGAUUGUCUCAUGGUAAUGGAAUAUUGAAUUGUUAAACAUUGUUGAGGAAUCACCUUGAAUAAAAAUAUUGUGAACUUGAUGAAGUAUUUUUCCUCAUUUAAACACUGAAAAUUUUAAGAUCAAUGGUCAAGGUCAAAUACAAAUUUUACUCAAGAAUGUGUUAUAAAUGCUGUAAGUACUGUGAAUUCUUAUGCAUGUUUUAUAAGAUCUAAGGAAUAUGUGAGGAGCAUUUUAAUAUUUCUCAAUCUGACACUGAUUAACAUUCAAGAUAAAAUGCCAAGGUCAAAUACAAAUUUGCUUUACUCAAGAAUGAGUUUUACAUGUAAAUACUGUGAAUUCUGAAUUUCUCAUGCAUGUUUUAUAAGAUCUUAGAAACAUGUGUGACCUCACUACAAUAUUUAUUAAUGUCAAUCUGUCAACCAAUAUCAAAUUUAGAAAAUAUAUUCUAUUAAACAUAAAUUAUUAAAUUUUCACACAUAAAAAAAAUUGGAAAUUGAAAUACAUUUGUACGGUGCUGAGCUGACCAUAAACUGAGGAGAAACUGAAGUUAAAUGAAAAAAAAAUUAACAUUUUGAUUAUCUUGAAUUUAGCAACUAUAUAUUUUGCAUGUUCGAAAAAUAUCACAUACAAUAGAUGAUGAACUGCAAUUUUAAAAAAGAAUAAAUUAUGAAUUUAAAUAAAAAAAAUCAUACAAUUAAUAUUGAAAUUAUAAGACAAUUUCACAUUUAAAAUGUUUAAUAUGUGAAAGUCAAGAUAUUCUAGAUCUACAUUUUGACUUCUCU